Molecule: unclassified non-coding RNA, 148 nt
Organism: Papio anubis (olive baboon)
Lineage: Eukaryota; Metazoa; Chordata; Mammalia; Primates; Cercopithecidae
Rfam family: Metazoan signal recognition particle RNA
About the family: The signal recognition particle (SRP) is a universally conserved ribonucleoprotein. It is involved in the co-translational targeting of proteins to membranes.
Source: Ensembl
GCUGGGUGUGGCGGUGUGUGCCUGUAGUCCCAGCUACUUGGGAGGCUGAGGCAGGAGAAUUGCUCGAACCUGGGAGGCUGAGGUUGCAGUGAGCCAAGAUCACACCACUGCACUCCAGCCUGGGCAACAGAGCGAGACUCUGCCUUUA